AACGCACAUUGCGCCCCUUGGUAUUCCGAGGGGCAUGCCUGUCUGAGCGUCAGUAAAUUCUCAAGCCUAUGCUUCUGUGUAGGAUUGGUUUUGGACUUCGAGGUUUGCCUCCGGUCUGAAACGCAUUGGCCGAGCCGUCUUGGUUACAGCGUGAUAAUCUUUCGUUGUUGAUCCGGACGUUGCCCGGCCUAAAGCCUUUUUCCGACUUGACCUCAGAUCAGGUAGGGAUACCCGCUGAACUUAA
RNAcentral lists this unclassified non-coding RNA (244 nucleotides) under uncultured fungus. RNAcentral describes it as "partial contains 5.8S ribosomal RNA, internal transcribed spacer 2, and large subunit ribosomal RNA". The stretch from base 1 to 52 matches the Rfam family "5.8S ribosomal RNA", at positions 103 to 154 of the family's 154-position model. Lineage: Eukaryota; Fungi. The record is from RNAcentral.